ACCCUGCUAGCUUAGUUGGUAGAGCAUGAGACUCAUAAUCUCAGGGUUUUAUGUUCGACCCCCAUGUUGGGUG
This 73-nucleotide transfer RNA is filed under the name Danio rerio (zebrafish). It matches the Rfam family "tRNA". Rfam says of the family: Transfer RNA (tRNA) molecules are approximately 80 nucleotides in length. The record is from Rfam by way of RNAcentral. Lineage: Eukaryota; Metazoa; Chordata; Actinopteri; Cypriniformes; Danionidae.